CGCCCUUAGAGUUUGAUCCUGGCUCAGGAUGAACGCUAGCGGCAGGCUUAAUACAUGCAAGUCGAGGGGCAGCAGGUCUGUAGCAAUACAGAUGCUGGCGACCGGCAAACGGGUGCGGAACACGUACACAACCUUCCUUUAAGCGGGGAAUAGCCCAGAGAAAUUUGGAUUAAUACCCCAUAGUAUAUUGAGUAGGCAUCUAUUUAAUAUUAAAGAUUUAUCACUUGAAGAUGGGUGUGCGGCUGAUUAGGUAGUUGGCGGGGUAACGGCCCACCAAGCCUACGAUCAGUAACUGGUGUGAGAGCACGACCAGUCACACGGGCACUGAGACACGGGCCCGACUCCUACGGGAGGCAGCAGUAAGGAAUAUUGGUCAAUGGACGAAAGUCUGAACCAGCCAUGCCGCGUGGAGGAUGAAGGCCCUCUGGGUUGUAAACUUCUUUUAUUUGGGACGAAAAAGGGCUUUUCUAAGUCAACUGACGGUACCAUUUGAAUAAGCACCGGCUAACUCCGUGCCAGCAGCCGCGGUAAUACGGAGGGUGCAAGCGUUAUCCGGAUUCACUGGGUUUAAAGGGUGCGUAGGUGGGUUGGUAAGUCAGUGGUGAAAUCCCCGAGCUUAACUUGGGAACUGCCAUUGAUACUAUCAGUCUUGAAUACCGUGGAGGUCAGCGGAAUAUGUCAUGUAGCGGUGAAAUGCUUAGAGAUGACAUAGAACACCAAUUGCGAAAGCAGCUGGCUACACGAAUAUUGACACUGAGGCACGAAAGCGUGGGGAUCAAACAGAUAGAUACCCUGGUAGUCCACGCCCUAAACUAUGGAUACUCGACAUACGCGAUACACAGUGUGUGUCUGAGCGAAAGCAUAAGUAUCCCCCUGGGAAGUACGAUC
RNAcentral lists this ribosomal RNA (888 nucleotides) under uncultured bacterium. Its description in RNAcentral is "bacterial SSU rRNA". It matches the Rfam family "Bacterial small subunit ribosomal RNA", at positions 1 to 887 of the family's 1533-position model. The record is from RNAcentral.